AUCGGCUGGCCACCGUUGAGGGUGCAGAGCGCGCCGUCGUCCCCGGCCGGCGCGACCACGCCGGCCGGGUCGACGGUGACGGUGGAGUUGAGCCCCGCGCACGCCAGCUUCACGCCGAGCUGCGUGCAGACGCACCUGUUCUCCACCGUCACCAGGUAG
RNAcentral lists this ribosomal RNA (159 nucleotides) under Triticum aestivum (bread wheat). RNAcentral's name for it is "partial small subunit ribosomal RNA". The record is from RNAcentral. Lineage: Eukaryota; Viridiplantae; Streptophyta; Magnoliopsida; Poales; Poaceae.